RNAcentral lists this ribosomal RNA (2208 nucleotides) under Salmonella enterica. RNAcentral describes it as "partial 23S ribosomal RNA". It matches the Rfam family "Bacterial large subunit ribosomal RNA", at positions 711 to 2815 of the family's 2925-position model. Lineage: Bacteria; Pseudomonadati; Pseudomonadota; Gammaproteobacteria; Enterobacterales; Enterobacteriaceae. The record is from RNAcentral.
AGACCCGAAACCCGGUGAUCUAGCCAUGGGCAGGUUGAAGGUUGGGUAACACUAACUGGAGGACCGAACCGACUAAUGUUGAAAAAUUAGCGGAUGACCUGUGGCUGGGGGUGAAAGGCCAAUCAAACCGGGAGAUAGCUGGUUCUCCCCGAAAGCUAUUUAGGUAGCGCCUCGUGAAUUCAUCUCCGGGGGUAGAGCACUGUUUCGGCUAGGGGGCCAUCCCGGCUUACCAACCCGAUGCAAACUGCGAAUACCGGAGAAUGUUAUCACGGGAGACACACGGCGGGUGCUAACGUCCGUCGUGAAGAGGGAAACAACCCAGACCGCCAGCUAAGGUCCCAAAGUCAUGGUUAAGUGGGAAACGAUGUGGGAAGGCCCAGACAGCCAGGAUGUUGGCUUAGAAGCAGCCAUCAUUUAAAGAAAGCGUAAUAGCUCACUGGUCGAGUCGGCCUGCGCGGAAGAUGUAACGGGGCUAAACCAUGCACCGAAGCUGCGGCAGCGAACGUAUCACCCAAGACAACUUUACGGAGUUGACGAUUGACGGAGCGAAGCGACGUCAAAGCGUUCAUUAAAGUCGAGUUGGCUUAGGGAUACGUUCGUUGGGUAGGGGAGCGUUCUGUAAGCCUGUGAAGGUGUGUCGUGAGGCAUGCUGGAGGUAUCAGAAGUGCGAAUGCUGACAUAAGUAACGAUAAAGCGGGUGAAAAGCCCGCUCGCCGGAAGACCAAGGGUUCCUGUCCAACGUUAAUCGGGGCAGGGUGAGUCGACCCCUAAGGCGAGGCCGAAAGGCGUAGUCGAUGGGAAACGGGUUAAUAUUCCCGUACUUGGUGUUACUGCGAAGGGGGGACGGAGAAGGCUAUGUUGGCCGGGCGACGGUUGUCCCGGUUUAAGCGUGUAGGUGUGUGUUCCAGGUAAAUCCGGUUCACUUUAACACUGAGGCGUGACGACGAGGCACUACGGUGCUGAAGCAACAAAUGCCCUGCUUCCAGGAAAAGCCUCUAAGCAUCAGGUAACACGAAAUCGUACCCCAAACCGACACAGGUGGUCAGGUAGAGAAUACCAAGGCGCUUGAGAGAACUCGGGUGAAGGAACUAGGCAAAAUGGUGCCGUAACUUCGGGAGAAGGCACGCUGACACGUAGGUGAAGUGAUUUACUCAUGGAGCUGAAGUCAGUCGAAGAUACCAGCUGGCUGCAACUGUUUAUUAAAAACACAGCACUGUGCAAACACGAAAGUGGACGUAUACGGUGUGACGCCUGCCCGGUGCCGGAAGGUUAAUUGAUGGGGUCAGCGUAAGCGAAGCUCCUGAUCGAAGCCCCGGUAAACGGCGGCCGUAACUAUAACGGUCCUAAGGUAGCGAAAUUCCUUGUCGGGUAAGUUCCGACCUGCACGAAUGGCGUAAUGAUGGCCAGGCUGUCUCCACCCGAGACUCAGUGAAAUUGAACUCGCUGUGAAGAUGCAGUGUACCCGCGGCAAGACGGAAAGACCCCGUGAACCUUUACUAUAGCUUGACACUGAACAUUGAGCCUUGAUGUGUAGGAUAGGUGGGAGGCUUUGAAGUGUGGACGCCAGUCUGCAUGGAGCCGACCUUGAAAUACCACCCUUUAAUGUUUGAUGUUCUAACGUGGACCCGUAAUCCGGGUUGCGGACAGUGUCUGGUGGGUAGUUUGACUGGGGCGGUCUCCUCCUAAAGAGUAACGGAGGAGCACGAAGGUUGGCUAAUCCUGGUCGGACAUCAGGAGGUUAGUGCAAUGGCAUAAGCCAGCUUGACUGCGAGCGUGACGGCGCGAGCAGGUGCGAAAGCAGGUCAUAGUGAUCCGGUGGUUCUGAAUGGAAGGGCCAUCGCUCAACGGAUAAAAGGUACUCCGGGGAUAACAGGCUGAUACCGCCCAAGAGUUCAUAUCGACGGCGGUGUUUGGCACCUCGAUGUCGGCUCAUCACAUCCUGGGGCUGAAGUAGGUCCCAAGGGUAUGGCUGUUCGCCAUUUAAAGUGGUACGCGAGCUGGGUUUAGAACGUCGUGAGACAGUUCGGUCCCUAUCUGCCGUGGGCGCUGGAGAACUGAGGGGGGCUGCUCCUAGUACGAGAGGACCGGAGUGGACGCAUCACUGGUGUUCGGGUUGUCAUGCCAAUGGCACUGCCCGGUAGCUAAAUGCGGAAGAGAUAAGUGCUGAAAGCAUCUAAGCACGAAACUUGCCCCGAGAUGAGUUCUCCC